RNAcentral lists this ribosomal RNA (598 nucleotides) under Haemophilus influenzae. RNAcentral describes it as "bacterial SSU rRNA". It matches the Rfam family "Bacterial small subunit ribosomal RNA", at positions 88 to 682 of the family's 1533-position model. Lineage: Bacteria; Pseudomonadati; Pseudomonadota; Gammaproteobacteria; Pasteurellales; Pasteurellaceae. The record is from RNAcentral.
CUGACGAGUGGCGGACGGGUGAGUAAUGCUUGGGAAUCUGGCUUAUGGAGGGGGAUAACGACGGGAAACUGUCGCUAAUACCGCGUAUUAUCGGAAGAUGAAAGUGCGGGACUGAGAGGCCGCAUGCCAUAGGAUGAGCCCAAGUGGGAUUAGGUAGUUGGUGGGGUAAAUGCCUACCAAGCCUGCGAUCUCUAGCUGGUCUGAGAGGAUGACCAGCCACACUGGAACUGAGACACGGUCCAGACUCCUACGGGAGGCAGCAGUGGGGAAUAUUGCGCAAUGGGGGGAACCCUGACGCAGCCAUGCCGCGUGAAUGAAGAAGGCCUUCGGGUUGUAAAGUUCUUUCGGUAUUGAGGAAGGUUGAUGUGUUAAUAGCACAUCAAAUUGACGUUAAAUACAGAAGAAGCACCGGCUAACUCCGUGCCAGCAGCCGCGGUAAUACGGAGGGUGCGAGCGUUAAUCGGAAUAACUGGGCGUAAAGGGCACGCAGGCGGUUAUUUAAGUGAGGUGUGAAAGCCCUGGGCUUAACCUGGGAAUUGCAUUUCAGACUGGGUAACUAGAGUACUUUAGGGAGGGGUAGAAUUCCACGUGUAGCGGU